Molecule: ribosomal RNA, 425 nt
Filed under: uncultured bacterium
Lineage: Bacteria
Description: bacterial SSU rRNA
Rfam family: Bacterial small subunit ribosomal RNA
Source: RNAcentral
GUGGGGAAUAUUGCACAAUGGGCGAAAGCCUGAUGCAGCAACGCCGCGUGAGUGAUGAAGGCCUUCGGGUUGUAAAGCUCUGUCUUUGGGGACGAUAAUGACGGUACCCAAGGAGGAAGCCACGGCUAACUACGUGCCAGCAGCCGCGGUAAUACGUAGGUGGCAAGCGUUGUCCGGAUUUACUGGGCGUAAAGGAUGCGUAGGCGGAUAUUUAAGUCAGAUGUGAAAACCCCGAGCUUAACUUGGGGACUGCAUUUGAAACUGGAUAUCUAGAGUGUGGGAGAGGAGAAUGGAAUUCCUAGUGUAGCGGUGAAAUGCGUAGAGAUUAGGAAGAACACCAGUGGCGAAGGCGAUUCUCUGGACCAUAACUGACGCUGAGGCAUGAAAGCGUGGGUAGCAAACAGGAUUAGAUACCCGUGUAGUCC